GAAUAGUAUGGAAGUUAGUAGAGUCAGUUAAGAAUUAGUUAGAGGUGGGAUCAGUUACUAUAGAGAUCUAAAGCUAUAUAAAUAACAGCUAUAUUGUAACUAGAAAAACUACUCAAUAUUUUCAAUGAAAUUCUCAUCCUUCUCUGCCUAAAUAUUAUUCUUUCUCUUCUUUUUUCUCUUCUUCUAUUCCUCUUUCCCUUUCUCUCUCUAUUUCCUAUAUAAUUUCUAAUCUUUCUAUGAUGGAGAAUCUAGUUACAUAACAAGUGGUAUCAAAGCCAUGUUCUGAACUGGGUUUGCUUCCAACCCUUUCUGCUAGAGUCGUAACCCUAAGCAAAUUCAUGAAAGUCUUUCAAAAUUCCAAAAUUCUAGGUUUUCCUCUAUUCUACUCUCUUUCUCUCUUCUUUCCCUGUAUUCCUUCUUUUCUUCUUCCCUAAAAUUUCUUCCCUUUCUUCCCUCU
RNAcentral lists this unclassified non-coding RNA (457 nucleotides) under Hevea brasiliensis (rubber tree). Lineage: Eukaryota; Viridiplantae; Streptophyta; Magnoliopsida; Malpighiales; Euphorbiaceae. The record is from RNAcentral.